UGAGUACGAGAUGCUACGGCGUCGAAGCAGUCUAGGUCAUACUUCCAAGAAAAGCUUGCACUGUCAUAAACAAAGAAUGCCUGUACCAUAACCGACACAGGUGGGUAGGUAGAGUAUACUAAGGGGCGCGAGAUAACUCUCUCUAAGGAACUCGGCAAAAUGACUCCGUAACUUCGGGAGAAGGAGUGCCUUAUUUUUAAGGUUGCAAUAACAAGAUCCAAGCAACUGUUUACCAAAAACACAGGUCUCCGCUAAGUCGUAAGACGAUGUAUGGGGGCUGACGCCUGCCCAGUGCCAGAAGGUUAAAGAAGUUGGUUAGCAUUUGCGAAGCUGAUAACUGAAGCCCUGGUGAACGGCGGCCGUAACUAUAACGGUCCUAAGGUAGCGAAAUUCCUUGUCGGGUAAGUUCCGACCCGCACGAAAGGCGUAAUGAUUUGGAUACUGUCUCGGAGAGGGGCUCGGUGAAAUAGACUUGUCUGUGAAGAUGCGGACUACCUGCACCUGGACAGAAAGACCCUAUGAAGCUUUACUGUAACUUGAGAUUGAAAUUGGACUUUAUUUGCGCAGUAUAGGUGGGAGGCGUUGAGAAUAAUCUUGCGGGAUUAUCGGAGCCAUCAGUGAGAUACCACUCUUGUAAUGUUAGAUUUCUAACUUUGUAUCAUUAUCUGGUCAAAGAACAGUUUCAGGCGGGCAGUUUGACUGGGGCGGUCGCCUCCCAAAGGGUAACGGAGGCGCACAAAGGUUUCCUCUGAACGGGUAGAAAUCGUAUCUAGAGUGUAAAGGCAUAAGGAAGCUUGACUGUGAGACCUACAAGUCGAGCAGGGACGAAAGUCGGUCUUAGUGAUCUGACGGUGCUGAGUGGAAAGGCCGUCACUCAACGGAUAAAAGUUACUCUAAGGAUAACAGGCUGAUCUCCCCCAAGAGUUCACAUCGACGGGGAGGCUUGGCACCUCGAUGUCGGCUCAUCGCAUCCUGGGGCGGUAGUACGUCCCAAGGGUUGGGCUGUUCGCCCAUGAAAGCGGUACGCGAGCUGGGUUCAGAACGUCGUGAGACAGUUCGGUCCAUAUCCGGUGUAGGCGUUAGAAUAUUGAAAGGAGCCUUCUCUAGUACGAGAGGACCGAGAAGGACAUACCUCUGGUGUGCCAGUUAUCGUGCCAACGGUAAAUGCUGGGUAGCUAUGUAUGGAGUGGAUAACCGCUGAAAGCAUCUAAGUGGGAAGCCCACCUUAAGAUAAG
RNAcentral lists this ribosomal RNA (1235 nucleotides) under metagenome. RNAcentral's name for it is "bacterial LSU rRNA". It matches the Rfam family "Bacterial large subunit ribosomal RNA", at positions 1564 to 2808 of the family's 2925-position model. The record is from RNAcentral.